CCUAAUGGCAGAAAUAGUGCAAUAGAGUUAGAAUCUAGAAACAACUC
Molecule: transfer RNA, 47 nt
Filed under: Idiops syriacus
Lineage: Eukaryota; Metazoa; Arthropoda; Arachnida; Araneae; Idiopidae
Description: partial tRNA-Leu
Source: RNAcentral